ACGGGUGCGUAACACGUGAGUUACAUGCCCUGUAGUGGGGAAUAGCCCGCCGAAAGGCGGAUUAAUACCCCAUGGUCCCGCAAGGGUAAAGGUGGCGAAAGCUGCCGCUACAGGAUUGGCUCGCGGCCUAUCAGCUAGUUGGCGAGGUAACGGCUCACCAAGGCGACGACGGGUACCUGGUCUGAGAGGAUGAUCAGGCACACUGGAACUGAGACACGGUCCAGACACCUACGGGUGGCAGCAGUCGAGAAUAAUUCACAAUGGGGGAAACCCUGAUGGUGCAACGCCGCGUGGAGGAUGAAGGUCUUCGGAUUGUAAACUCCUGUCAUCUGGGAGUAAGACCUGGCGGUGAAUAGCCGACAGGGUUGAUAGUACCAGAAGAGGAAGGGACGGCUAACUUCGUGCCAGCAGCCGCGGUAAUACGAAGGUCCCAAGCGUUGUUCGGAAUCACUGGGCGUAAAGGGAGCGUAGGCUGCGUGGUAAGUCAGAUGUGAAAUCCCGGGGCUCAACCCCGGAACUGCAUCCGAUACUGCCACGCUUGAGGGUUGGAGAGGUAGCUGGAAUUAUCGGUGUAGCAGU
This 579-nucleotide ribosomal RNA is filed under the name uncultured Verrucomicrobiaceae bacterium. Its description in RNAcentral is "bacterial SSU rRNA". It matches the Rfam family "Bacterial small subunit ribosomal RNA", at positions 102 to 682 of the family's 1533-position model. Lineage: Bacteria; Pseudomonadati; Verrucomicrobiota; Verrucomicrobiia; Verrucomicrobiales; Verrucomicrobiaceae. The record is from RNAcentral.